GUAUGGUGUGUUCACAACAUCAAUAUGUCUCCAUUUAUUGGACUGCAAACAAGAGUUGGCCAAAACAAGGAAAAACAACACAUUAACUACAAAUUUAUUUCAUGAAUUUUUAAAAUCACAAAUUUCAAAAACAAAAUUCGAAAGAAAUGUCAAUGACCUGCAAAGAACAUCAACUCAUGUCAUCCAACACGCCAGUUGUUAUACACACUAUAUCCAGGUCUUGGCACUGAAGAAACUGUUUCAUAAGUUAAACAAGGUGUAGAGAAUUGUCUAGGUCAAAAUGACAUUCUAGUAGUUGAUCAAAAACUGAAUGUUUAAUUCGUUAACUUUUAAUAAUAAAAAAAAUGCAACAAAUCAAUAAAUUACUGCAUUGAUGGAUAUAUAUAUACUUCUAUAGCUUUAACAUCUGUCAAUAAAAAAAAAUGACAUUCAAAGUUUGUAUUCAUUUGUAAUUAGUAAGAUUUCAAAAGGAGUUUAAAAAAACAACAAUUGUAUCUAUUACAUUGGUGUCAGCACAAAGGUAAGGUGUCCAGAUGAUUGAAGUGCUGCUAUCAAGAAUGUUGAAGUUGAUCACUGAAGUUCUGACAUCAAAUGGGGUAAAACAUACGACUAGAAUACAUUUUUUUUUUUUUUUAACAGUUUGGAUAACAACCCCCCCUAAAAAAAAUAAUUACACAUCAUUAUUCCGACAAAAAAAAAAUUUAUAAGGAAAUUGAGAAAAAAAAUGGCAUUUCAAAUUACAGUGGAGCUUUUCGCCAGCGAGAAAGCAAAUUAAAUGUUUCAGGGGAAGUAACAAAUCAUUACAAGCUUAUUUUUUGGGGGGAGUGACGUGGACUUGAUCUCAAACUUGUGAAAACAGUCAAAAUAAUAGAAAUAAAAAAAUACAAAUACAUUCUAAGAAUUUAUUGACACAGAUCAAGAAAAUUUCAAGAUUAAAAAAAAAACACAACAGACCUGGUGAGAAGGACAAAUUGAAAAGGAUUUCUUUGUGUUUAAUCUUCAGGAUUGUCUGGCAUUGUCAAAAAGUGUUUAAAUUGGAGCAUAAGGCAUAUAGUUUCAGAUUGCUUGCUAGAAUGAAUAUUGACAGCAUUAUUUUAAGGACAGGUUGAGUUUACAGUCAUAUGUCUGAAUGACUUUGCAUGGACAUGCAGUGUGGAUGUGAAACAAUAUAUGGAAAGACAACAUUGACCUCUCCUCUAGAUGUGCUGCUGUUUCUUUUGAAAAUUAGGCUCACUCACUGUCCAAUGGAGCCUAGCAUAUGACUAUUAGAAAACAAAAGAAAAUUUCAAAACAAAAAUGACUAAGAAACAAAUGUGACAAAAAUAGCAUAUCAGUAAAGCUCACAUACCUGUAUUUCAAAAAGCAUCUUCUAAAUCCCUCAAUAGAUGUUAACAGUGAAACAGAUUCUGCUCUUUAAUAAUACAAUAGACAAAUGACACACGAGUGUUUAAAGUAGAUGAAGCAACUUGAACUAAAGGCUACACUAAAUUAACAAAGCCAAAAUUUACAAUUACCUGUGACAUUAAGUUCAGACUAUGUUCAGAUAAUAGUAGCCAAGUCAAAAUGUUUCUGAGGAGGGGGGGGGGGGGGGGGGGGU
Molecule: non-coding RNA, 1597 nt
Organism: Biomphalaria pfeifferi
Lineage: Eukaryota; Metazoa; Mollusca; Gastropoda; Planorbidae
Source: the annotation of a GenBank genome assembly